CUGAAUCCAAGAUUUGGUGAGUUGGGUAGAGAAAGAGAGCUUCUGCAUUUGUAUAAUUUCGCUUUGACUAUAGCUUAAAUGAUUAUAGAAUUAGUAUGUAAGAUGACUUCUCCUUAUACACCUAUUAUAUCUAAUGUUUACAAUUCAGAAAUAUCUUGUGCCUUGAAGUAUGGAAUAAAAUUGGCUGAGCUUGGAUUCCUGUUGUGAAAUGCAGGUGUGGAAAUUCAAAACCAUUGUUUACUCAGGCAUCCAGUCUUAAUCAAGUUAGAACAUUUUACUUAAAAUUAAUAUGAUUAGGCCAGCCAUGGUAGCUCAAACCUAUAAUCCCAGUGCUUUAGAAUGCUGAAGCAGGAGGAUCACUUGAAGUUGGGAAUUUGAGACCAGCCUGGGCAAUACAGCAAGACCCUGUGUUGCCCAGGCUGGUCUCAAAUAAAAAAAAAGAAAAAUUAAAAAAUUAGUUGGGUUUGGUGGCCAGUGCCUGUAGUCCCAGCUACUCAGGAGGCUGAGGUGGGAGGAUCACUUAAGCCCAGGAGGUCAAGGCUGCAGUGAGCUGUGAUGUUACCACCGCACUCUAGCCUCGGCAACAGAGGGAGACCUGUCUU
RNAcentral lists this small RNA (602 nucleotides) under Pan troglodytes (chimpanzee). Its description in RNAcentral is "processed transcript". The record is from RNAcentral. Lineage: Eukaryota; Metazoa; Chordata; Mammalia; Primates; Hominidae.